UAGGAGAUGCAAAGCGCCGAGAGAGGAGAUCCCGGCCGCGAUGGCACUUUUCCACCGCAUCUCGGCAUGGAUUGGAGCGCUCGUCCCAAGAGAUGGGAAGGUAAAAAACACUGUAUGGCCACAUGAUAAUUGACCGGCGGGAGUUACCAUCUUAUGAUUCCUUCUUGGUUUGCUAAAUCUGAACCAGAAUGAUCCAGCAACAGCUUUCUGGAUCCUAUAACUAGAAUUCUUCAAAAUAAAACAAAGAUGGGCAUGCAAAAUCAGCAAGAAGAAGCUUCUUAAUGAACGUAAUAUUCUUCACCAUCAACUUGAAGAAUGCAGUAUUAACUUUCUUAUAUGAGAAGAACAUAAGAACAUAAGUUCACAAUUAGUCCAUCACUGUCCAUGCUUUAUGUCUCCCGACAACCUUGGACAGCAGGUGCAACACUAUCACGAUAAGGCAAGUUUACAUUGGGACAUGCAAUGUUGGUUAGGCACGACUCAUGGCACAGGAUAUUAGCAUACAGAAAAUGCCAGAGAAGCAACUCGUCUGAAAAUCUCAAUUUGAUCAGCAUCGAUCAUGGUGACAUAAUGGAUGACGACAUGCAAAAAAAUUAUGCCAGAUAAUAUCAUAGACAAUGUUUAAAGACUGAGGAAGCACAUAAGUCAGUCAUCCGACUUGUUCUCAGAAACUGUUAGUGAACCAGGGGAAGAUGGAGAUGCCAUUCAUUCCCUACGGUAAAGCUAUUCCAAACAGGUUCUCUCAAAGUUGAGGCUGUGGAAAAUUUCCUUGAUUUUGACAGUCAAGGAAGAUGUCAUUUGCAUGGGAAACUAUAGCAGACAGGUUCCUUGAAAGAUGCCUUGGGGCUGAAGCAUUUUCAAGAUGCGACAGCCAAAUCGCUGAAAGUUAUCUGCGUUUUAAAUGGCAAGUUAACUGCACUUGUAUAUCUGGGCUACCCUCCUUUCUAAAGAAUAUUGCUCCCUUGAGACUUUGUUUCAUAAUUUAUCAAUAGAAUAAAAAAUAUUUUAUAGGAAACUGCUUUUAUCAUGGACUCAUAGCUUAAAAGCUUAUGUUAGGAGGAAUAGCCCAGACUAAUAAACUCAUGUGGCAUUCUUUUUAUCAGUCAGUGUAGGACUAUGAUAACCUCCUUCACU
This is a long non-coding RNA of Phoenix dactylifera (date palm), 1134 nucleotides long. RefSeq lists it as uncharacterized. NCBI's taxonomy places the organism in Eukaryota, Viridiplantae, Streptophyta, Magnoliopsida, Arecales, Arecaceae. The record is from RefSeq and is a predicted model, not a curated record.